This 117-nucleotide small nuclear RNA is filed under the name Octodon degus (degu). RNAcentral's name for it is "U4 spliceosomal RNA (ENSODEG00000022961.1)". It matches the Rfam family "U4 spliceosomal RNA". From Rfam's summary of the family: U4 small nuclear RNA (U4 snRNA) is a component of the major U2-dependent spliceosome. Lineage: Eukaryota; Metazoa; Chordata; Mammalia; Rodentia; Octodontidae. The record is from RNAcentral.
AGCUUUGCACAGUGGCAGUAUCGGAGGCAAUGAGGUUUGUCUGAGAUACGAUGACUGCCAAUUGAAAACUUUAUCAAUGACUAUAAUCUCAUCUGUCUUUGGCAUGUCCUCUAGCAU